Molecule: ribosomal RNA, 534 nt
Filed under: uncultured bacterium
Lineage: Bacteria
Description: bacterial SSU rRNA
Rfam family: Bacterial small subunit ribosomal RNA
Source: RNAcentral
UCCUACGGGAGGCAGCAGUGGGGAAUUUUGGACAAUGGGCGAAAGCCUGAUCCAGCAAUGCCGCGUGCAGGAUGAAGGCCCUCGGGUUGUAAACUGCUUUUGUACGGAACGAAAAGCCUGGGGCUAAUAUCCCCGGGUCAUGACGGUACCGUAAGAAUAAGCACCGGYYKUAYGSGWGGCAGCAGCCGCGGUAAUACGUAGGGUGCAAGCGUUAAUCGGAAUUACUGGGCGUAAAGCGUGCGCAGGCGGUUUUGUAAGACAGUGGUGAAAUCCCCGGGCUCAACCUGGGAACUGCCAUUGUGACUGCAAGGCUAGAGUGCGGCAGAGGGGGAUGGAAUUCCGCGUGUAGCAGUGAAAUGCGUAGAUAUGCGGAGGAACACCGAUGGCGAAGGCAAUCCCCUGGGCCUGCACUGACGCUCAUGCACGAAAGCGUGGGGAGCAAACAGGAUUAGAUACCCUGGUAGUCCACGCCCUAAACGAUGUCAACUGGUUGUUGGGUCUUAACUGACUCAGUAACGAAGCUAACGCGUGAAG